UGUGUCAAAAGAGAGGAGACUCUCAUAAAGCACAUGCCCUCGCCUACAGAUUUCUCAAAGAAGACUUUUCUCAAGCCCCAAAACUGAUAAUGGUCAUGGUGACAGCAUGGCCAAGUGUUUUCUCCUGUAACAGCCCUUUAUGCAGAGCCAUUCACAUCGUGUGCAAAAUGAAGGCAUACGGAAAGAUGUAUUAUUUGCUCAGCAAGUUUCUGCACUGGGAUACAGAGCCUCCUG
Silurus meridionalis is the source of this 234-nucleotide long non-coding RNA. RefSeq lists it as uncharacterized. The record is from RefSeq and is a predicted model, not a curated record. The transcript is spliced from 3 exons. NCBI's taxonomy places the organism in Eukaryota, Metazoa, Chordata, Actinopteri, Siluriformes, Siluridae.